Molecule: ribosomal RNA, 207 nt
Filed under: uncultured bacterium
Lineage: Bacteria
Description: partial 16S ribosomal RNA
Rfam family: Bacterial small subunit ribosomal RNA
Source: RNAcentral
UCUGUAGGUGGUUUAAUAAGUCAACUGUUAAAUCUUGAGGCUCAACCUCAAAAUCGCAGUCGAAACUAUUAGACUAGAGUAUAGUAGGGGUAAAGGGAAUUUCUAGUGGAGCGGUGAAAUGCGUAGAUAUUGGAAGGAACACCGAUGGCGAAGGCACUUUACUGGGCUAUUACUAACACUCAGAGACGAAAGCUAGGGUAGCAAAUG